AGAAGCAGCCCCGUCGGGUGAUGUUUUAUUUCCCCUGUCCUCCUCCAUCUCCACGUGGGCAGUGUUCGCAGGCACCCAGCCUUCACGACCUAAGUGUGGUCCCGGUGCAAGCUGUUGAUUUUAACGCUGUCCCUGCUGCCAUACUGUGCAUCGAGAGAAGACACCAAGGGACUUGACACUUGCGGGACACAUAAAUGAUCUCCGCUUUCUCACAUCCUCUGCUCUCUCCUCAGCCGAAUAUUGGCAGCCCUGACCCUGUUUUUGGGAAUUGUGCUGUUUAUUGGGGUGACAAAAUGCAGCUGUCAAAUCGAGCACAGCGACGCCGCAGCGAAGGAGCAGCCACGGCUGGAGCCAGCUCCGGGACAGGAGGGCACACACAGCGGCUGCUGGGUGGCAGUGACAGGACACGGGAGCAGGCUGAGCUGCAGCCUGGUGCGAUGACAGCACCAGGCACUUCUGCCCCAUGCAAAACCCCACUGCCAGCUGGCACCUGCAGCAAAACUGCGGUGGGUUUACUGAGGGAAGCUGCCGGCAUCAGAAAAGCCGCAGCUGGUCAGUUCCUCAGAGGGGAUGCAACAUUUGCUCCUGGCCUUGGUGGAAAUCCUACAGGAAGGAGAAGGCAGGGGGCAGGCUCGGGGCUGAGCACUGACAGAGCUUGGCUUGAAGGGACAAGGCUGGAAACUCGGGUCAGCAUCAAGGGCAGGCACAGAACAGCAGGAGAGCGGCAGCAGCUGGAGAUGGCAUCAACCUACAGAGCUUGCUUGUGGACACAGCCACAUCCAAGACCCCAGAGGGGUCUCUCCUGCUCCUGCAUCCCUGAAUCCCAAGGGUGCUCCCCCCUGCACCAUGCCAGAUGGGGAUGACUCUGAGCGUACUUCCUCUGAGUGUUACCAAGGAAACCUGAAUCAGGAACAGAGUUGAGCUCCAGGGAAAGGGGAAGGGGAAGCAAAGUCCCAGACAGGUACCCAGGGCUGGCGUGCUGGGCGACCGCACAGUCUAGCGCUAGAAAUGCAGUGGCAGGCUUGAGAGCAGCACCAUUUAAUGAUGCCCGGGCUCUAGGGAAAAGCCCAGUGGUUGAAACCCGUCACACCCAGGCAGGCUGGCAGGGGAAAGCUGGGUGUCCUCGGUGGCGAGCCCCCAAGGAGCCAAACCGAAGGCUCAGCCCCUGGAGAGAGAAUCUGGCGCAGGAGGAAGAAGAACUUGAGGGUUUUUUGUCUCGCCGCUUCCUGCCGAAAGCUGGCACGGCUGUAAAAUCGCAAGCCCAGAACAAUGAGGUCUCCUGUCCCAGCAGCUGCUAAAGCAGUCACCUGGGGAGCUUCCUGCCAUCAGCCAGGGGCAGGACGAGAAGUUGCUCCCGCACGCUUUCCUGCAAUCCGCCACACGCCUGAUUUAUGCUCGGCUACGUCCCUGCCACCCCCUCCCCCAGAGCCGGGCGUCUCACGCUCGGAGAAGAGGAUGUGGUUGCUGAGACCAACCUCUGACAGGGAGCAGGCUCAUCUUUCAGCCCUGCUUCCCCACGCAGCAGGAGGUGCUUUUCUUUGUGACUUUUGAGCCACCCCAUAGCUCCCCACAGGCAGUGGAGACAGUGCAGGCACUCCCUGGACAUCCCCUGUACCCGGCGCCCUUGCUGCUGUGCCCCAAAGCACCCUGCGAAUGCUCUGUGGCUGACACACGCUGCAAAUCCACUGCUUGCAGUCACCAAAGAGCUGGCACCACGCUGCCACUGGCUUCCUCUCAGGCCAUCACGCCUUUCCAAAGCAUUAGUCUGCUGGUCUGAGCCACGCCGGAUCUCGCCUCACGGGUGAGUAUUUUUAGAAAGUUGGAGCUAAGACCAUGCAGUCACUCCUGAGCUAUGCCAGGAUGAAAAGAAAACAACCACUUCUGCCCGAACAAUGCAGCCUUGGAACAAAAAGCCGCUGCAAAUGGCAUUUUUCAGCAUCACUCACAACUGGCCGAGCUUUGAAAGACGAAACUUGCAGUCAAAAAAAAAAAAAAAAAAAAAAAAAAAGAAAAAGAGAGGUUCCCAUUGAACAGAAAGGGCCUCGACAAUUUACUUAAAAAGCCAGAUUAAAGCAAAACGGUGUUAUAUAAAUACUGGAAGGCAUGCCGCGGCUUGCACGCGGUGCAACCCUGCGUUUGCAUCAGCUGCUGCUGCUGGCUGCGUGGCGCGGCCCCGUGCUCGCAGCAGCCCAAGGGGAUGGAGGUGAGCGAGCCCUGAGCACCCGCGGGCUGCAGCGUCUCUGCCCCGAGGCACAACCGCCCUCCUCGUGCAACGCGAGACCGGCACGAGAAGCAGCACGGAAGGUCCCCGGAAAGCACCAAAAUCGCUGGUGCAUUUUGUACCCGCUGGACGACUCGGAGGGGGUGUUUCUGAGGGCUCUGGCUGCAAAAAUUUCCUGUUUUUCUGUAUUGCUCAAGCACUCGUCUGCUGAGACGGAGGAUGCAGCUGGGGUGCCCGCAGGGGAGCAGCGGUGCGCACCAGGAGCUCGGCAAAGAGGCCGGCUCCGGUCCCCUUCUGCUGGCAGCAGGUGUCCCCUGCUGCUGUCACCUCCUCCCUUCCCUGGAGCACACCCAGGCUCGCGCAGCACCCACGGGAUGAAGCCGCCCGUCCCUGUCCCCGUGCACAGCCUGAGGCAGGGCCCGGGCGCUGCCAAGCAGGCCCCGCCCUGGCUAACGCGCUGGCGGCCAGCUGCAGCCUCCGGCUUCUGCUCGAGAAAGGCUUCGAGUGGAAAGUGCUGGCAGAGGAACCACAAGGCUCACGAGUGAGCCGAGGGCAGAAAGACAAGCGGCGGAAAGGCCGUGGCGAAGCACUGCUGCCUUUUCCUUCUCCCUGCUCUCGUGCCUGCCCUGCUGGCGGAGGUGGACUUGGGCCUGGGUGGGUUGCAGAGCAGGCGAGGAGGACAGGACGUCUCACCUGUGAUCUAAUUUGAUUUAGGUCCAGGACUCCAACCUUCUGUACUUUGCCUUAUCGUUUUAUUGCUGAGGAUAUUGCAGCUGGCCAAGCUACGAGCAACUUGCAAUUUAACCUGCAGAAAACUGAAACCAACGAUGAGUGCUCAGCACGACUCAGCAAGGCUUCGGAACGCCGCUGAGCUGAACGCUGCUGCUAAUGGCCUGCCCGGGUUCGAGAUCCGAGUUGCCAAAUCCGUGCGAAUCCUGACUCACCGCCUGCGGAGCCAGCUGGAGCCAAACGUGGCCACAGCUGGCCCUGUCCACGCUCACAGCCCCCGUGUGCUGCGCAUCAGGCAACCUGAGUUUCCCAUCCCCUACCGGCACGUCGUGGGGGCUCGGCGCAGCACGCCGGGCACGGCAGCAGCGCGGCUCUCACCCUGCGAGGUUUCAGCAGACGGAGCCGAACGGCUCAGGAAAGCAGCAGCUGCUGCUCUUGGGUUCGAUGCAAGCCAGCAGAAAGGGAUGAAAAAGCUCUGCUUGCUGCGAACCGGGUGCCUUCAACCAGACUGCGCGGGUGGAGGCGCCGCAUGUGAAUCGUGUUGGGGGGGGAAAUCUCAGCGCUGGGUUCAGAGCGCAGCCGGGCAGUGAGCAUCGGGGUCAGCUCGGCUUCGCUCCCCUUGGAGAGGCAGCGACCGCCACACGUUCCUAAAAUAGCAACCGGGAACAUGAGAAGCAGAGAGCACUGCUGUAAUGCUUGGGCGGGAGAGAGUAAAUGUUUAACAGAUCAGGGGAACGUUGGAUGUGUUUAACUCCGAAAGGGAGGAACAACGGCAUCCUUGCCCGAGUGAGAACAGAGACAUUUUCUCAACUGACAUGUACAAAACAGCUGUUUCUGAGAAACAACCUACUGCCUUGGCUCCCUGCUCUCAGGAAAGACCAAGAUCACAUUCAGCUGGCAUGAAAAUUGCUGUGCAACCCCUCUUUUAACCGCUACAUAAACACGCUCCUUGCAGUGCUUCCUGCUUGCACCUCCCGAAGCCUCCCUAGCCGUCGCCAGCCAGGGAUUCGAGUUCAGAUCCUGCUGCAGAAAACAUCGCUGUGCUUUGAGGCCUGCGCUGUGGUGAAAACCAUGCAAAGCAUCACGGUGCCCCCAACCUCCUCCUCUUCCUCUCUGCCAGCCAGGCAGUUUCUGGAGGAUUUCUCCCUGUGUACGUGGGUCUCUGGUGUUUAUCUCACAGAAACAGUUGUGGCUUUCAUAUAAUGCACCCUAAAGCACGCUGGUGCUUUAAUAGCCGACCGGCACAUUAGCUCCACUUUUCCUCAGAAGGAAGUGAUAAAAUAGCUAAUUUAUACUGUCUCUUAAACGCACAAUGCAAAGUCACUGUGUUUUUUCCUGUUCUGUGGGAUGGUGAAGCAUAAAAGUUGGCUAUUGUUGGGUACGUGACGCUGUUCCCCUACUUUUCCUGCACAUGCAGGAAAGUGGAGACAGUCUUUACUAGAAGUGUUUACAGAGCAGCCAAGAACACCGAGGCGCACCAAAAAGGCAGGGCGAACCGCUCGGCCCGAAACAGGAGCGGGACACCAGCAGCACAGCUCCUGCGGUCUCCGCCGUAAAGCCGAAUACCAUUUCUCUCUGCUCACAGCUUCCCAAAUUACAUCCAAGUGACAUCACCGCAUGCAGCGCACCGCGCGGGCGGCACGCCAGGCCGUGAGCUCAGCCCUGACGGGAAGGCAGCCCACCUCGGGGCGCCGGCACCGCUUCUCGCUGCUGCCCACGCCCCGCGGUGCCCGGGCGGGUGAGAGCAGGUGGGAACGGCGACGCCUGCAGCGCCGCGGUUGCGGCGGGACGCACGGGACUUGGAGCGCUGCUUCCUCGCUCCUUAAAAGGUCACAGCUCGUUCCUGCGAAGGUGCAGGGAAAAAAAAAAACAAAAACCUAACGACCUGUGCCAGGGAGGCGAAAUGGAGCAGAGCCAAGGCAGAGUUAAGACUGAUUGAGGGAAACAGAAGCUAGGAAGGGAAAAAAAAAACAACAGCUCUUACAUGGUUAUUAGGCACGUACAGUGUGCUCACGCGUGAACUGAAGUUAAGCGUUACAGUGGGCACCAGCCCCGAUGUCGUACUCUGCCUACCAGCGAAAGAGGAAGCUGGGAGCGGGGCACUGCCAAACUGGAAGUGUUCGGAAUUCAGCUUGACUGUAAUCAGGUGAAUGUGGGGAGGAAGCGCUGGGAAAGGAUGGAGGCUGUGUGUGACACGGGCACACAGCUGCCUCCCUUAGUCUAAAGGUCGGGGCAAUUACCAUCAUGAUACCGCCUGUUGUCAGGACUCACCCGUGUGAGCAGAUCUAAUUAUUCACACAAGGGACAGGGAGGCUUCAGACUGCUUGGGCAGGGAAGGAGGUGAGAAAAGCAUGGUGGGGAGCGAGCACAGGGGAGGCUUCUCACGUGCAAUGAGCCACUGCCCCUCUGCGCACGCGAGGUGCCUCCUUCCAGAGGCCUGGGUCCAGCUGCACCCAAAGGGGACACGGGAGCAGCACUGCAAGCCCUGUGAAAGUAAUCCACUUGUUUGUUUUUCGGAACAUUACCUUUUAGUAGGGAUCAAGUCGUAACCUGCUCUCUCCCAACCCAUCAUUAGAAACCAGCCACUGCUCUGCUGGUACUGCCUCUCACCCCUCUGGACAGACAAGGGACUUCCCUGUGAUUUCAGAGAAUCAACUUUUAUUCUCCAGCUAAACAGAAGUGACAAUAAAGUUCUCUUUAUUACAGACCUACAAAAAAGGAGAUCCAUAAAAUACUUCUAUUUUCUCUUAUGAAAUUAUGAGAGGAGUCUGAGGCUUUGCAGAGCAUUUGUACCUGCCCCAGGGACGUGAGGACAGCGGGAUAAAAACACAGGUUUCACAGACAAGGCAGAGGCAUUCCCAGCUUUAAACAAACCCGCCCAGGGCAGAUAGGCACCCACAUGUUGUAUGGAGCAGCUGCCCUCUGCUCUGGGCUAUCAGAUGCUAGGCGAAGGAGAGACAUUCCUCCUCUUAGCUCAGCAGCAGUUCUACAUGUCAUCUCUUUGCUGAUAAACGUGGGCUCCUAAUCCCAGCCACAUUCCCCAUUUUGAGAAAAAGCAGCCCUGCUCCUCGACACUCUUUACAACUACUGCUGCUCGAGAGAAGGGGGGAGCAGGAAGGAAGGGUUACAACACUGUCCAUCUCCUAAGAACCCCCAAACAAAAGAAAACCCCA
Long non-coding RNA from Cygnus olor (mute swan), 6123 nucleotides. RefSeq lists it as uncharacterized. Lineage: Eukaryota; Metazoa; Chordata; Aves; Anseriformes; Anatidae. The record is from RefSeq and is a predicted model, not a curated record. The transcript has 2 exons.